UAAAGAGGGGGUGCCUAUAAUGCAAGUCGAGCGCGGGAAGCGAGUGGAUCCCUUCGGGGUGAAGCUCGUGGAACGAGCGGCGGACGGGUGAGUAACACGUGGGCAACCUGCCUGUAAGAUCGGAAUAACCCCGGGAAACCGGGGCUAAUGCCGGGUAAUACUUUCUUUCGCAUGAAGGAAAGUUGAAAGAUGGCUUCUCGCUAUCACUUACAGAUGGGCCCGCGGCGCAUUAGCUAGUUGGUGAGGUAACGGCUCACCAAGGCGACGAUGCGUAGCCGACCUGAGAGGGUGAUCGGCCACACUGGGACUGAGACACGGCCCAGACUCCUACGGGAGGCAGCAGUAGGGAAUCUUCCGCAAUGGACGAAAGUCUGACGGAGCAACGCCGCGUGAACGAUGAAGGUCUUCGGAUCGUAAAGUUCUGUUGUUAGGGAAGAACAAGUACCGUGCGAAUAGAGCGGUACCUUGACGGUACCUAACGAGGAAGCCCCGGCUAACUACGUGCCAGCAGCCGCGGUAAUACGUAGGGGGCAAGCGUUGUCCGGAAUUAUUGGGCGUAAAGCGCGCGCAGGCGGUUCCUUAAGUCUGAUGUGAAAGCCCACGGCUCAACCGUGGAGGGUCAUUGGAAACUGGGGAACUUGAGGACAGAAGAGGAGAGUGGAAUUCCACGUGUAGCGGUGAAAUGCGUAGAUAUGUGGAGGAACACCAGUGGCGAAGGCGACUCUCUGGUCUGUUUCUGACGCUGAGGUGCGAAAGCGUGGGUAGCAAACAGGAUUAGAUACCCUGGUAGUCCACGCCGU
Molecule: ribosomal RNA, 800 nt
Filed under: Halobacillus sp. JSM 101100
Lineage: Bacteria; Bacillati; Bacillota; Bacilli; Caryophanales; Bacillaceae
Description: bacterial SSU rRNA
Rfam family: Bacterial small subunit ribosomal RNA
Source: RNAcentral